UAAAUAUUAUUUUUUUCAAUUUCAAAAGGGCAAAAGACUCUCCUCGCUACUUUAGCAACGCUCUCCUUGAUAAAAUCUCCGUGGAUUAGGGUUUCUGGCUUCAAUUGUGGAUACUGACAAAUUAAUCUUCCGUAUUAGGUAGUGUUUUGCAUCUUCUCGCCCUCCAGCUCGUUCCAGAUUGAAGAAAUUUAUAAAGCUAGAGAAACGGGAAUUCUUGCAAUCUCAGGAAUUCAAAUAUGUCAUCCAAGGAAUGGAUGGAUUUAGCAAGGUAUAGCAAAGAGUAUAUCGAGGGUGUUCAAUCUUUCUUAGAUUUUGCUUACUCUUAUGGAGAUCCUCAAGGCGAAGAAAUUUAAUCCCCAUGUGCAAAGUGUUGUAAUAUUCGUUGGGCUCGAAGGAAUAUAGUGUAUGACCAUCUAAUAUGUUAUGGGUUUGUUCAAGGUUAUACAAGAUGGAUUAAUCAUGGAGAAUGGGAAAUUUCGAUGAAUGUUAAUUGUGACAUGGAUGAUAAUGUUUACUCUUACGAUGAUAAUUUAGGUUCAGCGGUUUCUUGUGAAUCUUCCUUUUGCACAACCUGCUCGCUUCCAUCCUUCAAAAGAGUUGUUUGUGCACCAACAGUAGAUUGAUUAUCAAUUGGAUGAGUAGCAUCUUUAGCUUCCACACCUGUUGAUUUAUCAGUUGUUUACCCAAUCUAACAGUAGGUCGAUCACCAUCUGUCGCACCAGCUUUUGCCUUCUCAUGUGCAAACUGUUGUACAUUAGGUGGUAUAUCUGGUUCAACUUAUUCUUAAUUUUUGGACUUGUCUCUAAUUUCUCUGUAGCCAGUGCUAGUCGCGGUUCUGAUUUAUUAUGUGCAAAUAGUUGAAAAGAAGUUGGGAAGUUGGGUGCUGGUUCAUAGGCUGAAGAAAUUAAGUACCUCAUACGAAAGACUGACAAAUCCAGCUAACAACUGAACUUUUCCUGCCGUCUUUGCGUUUGAUGAGACCUCUUCAUUCAUAUUAAGCUGUCAAAUACCUAAGUAGUCUUAUAGUACAUUAUCUGAAGCAAAGGAAACAUUUUGCAGGCUAUCGCUAUUUGAUACAUGUUCACAAAUUUCCUUCUUGGACAAGAGUUAACUGCUUCUGAACUUAACACCUAUUUUUUGAUUAAAAAACUGCAAAAGCGCUUAGGUCUGAUCCUUUUCCUUCGUUCACUGAGAAUGAAUACCGUUCGAUUGUGCUGGAUGUUGCCAAUGAAUUCCAGCUAGGAAGUAACAUGAAAACUACAAAAUGAAACUUCAUAUUAAAAUGGUUAUGAUCAUUGUCACUGAAAAAUCUAUUGACAUUCUUGGCUAUAUUUUGAGUCUGAACUUCAGAAUCGCCAAAGUUCUGGAGAAACAACUGAUGAUGCAUUUAGGGUUGUAUUUGGAAAGGAGCAGCCUGGUCGGGUUAGAUGCUAUAGUAGAUCGGUGACGACAAGCUCUCUGAAAAAAGAUGAAGAAAUCACCAAGCUUAAACAAAUGCAUACCAACAAAAUAACUUCUCUGAAGGAAGAAAUGAAGGAAAUGAUGAGGGAAGAAAUGCGAUCUUUUUUAGUCAAUUGGUGAAAAACAACCCUGGACUAGAUUUUCAUGAUAUACAAGGGUGUGUUGGAUCUAAUAUUCCUUCACCGGUUGAUGCAAGUAGUGCACGAGCUAUGAGAGGCAAAAAUCUACAACAUUCUUCUGGAUCAACUCAUGCCCCGAGUAUUGAAAAGGAAAAUACAGGUGAUGCAAUUGGAAAUGGUGGCCACAAAUCAAUUUGAAUCAUUAAAGUGAAUGGUGAAGACCUUUUGAACAAGAUGUUUAUUUUUGUUGACACUAAAUAUGAGUAUAUUUGAUUUUGUAGAGGUCUUUGCUAGUGAACUUCUUGAACCAACAUUGCUUUAUUACUAUUGAUAGUACACAAAGUGUGUUUCUUUUGUUGAAAUUUAUUUCAAGUA
Molecule: long non-coding RNA, 1955 nt
Organism: Nicotiana tabacum (common tobacco)
Lineage: Eukaryota; Viridiplantae; Streptophyta; Magnoliopsida; Solanales; Solanaceae
Source: RefSeq, a predicted model, not a curated record